RNAcentral lists this ribosomal RNA (253 nucleotides) under uncultured bacterium. RNAcentral's name for it is "partial 16S ribosomal RNA". It matches the Rfam family "Bacterial small subunit ribosomal RNA", at positions 524 to 776 of the family's 1533-position model. The record is from RNAcentral.
UACGUAGGGUGCAAGCGUUGUCCGGAAUUAUUGGGCGUAAAGAGCUCGUAGGCGGUUUGUUGCGUCGGCUGUGAAAUCCCGAGGCUCAACCUCGGGUCUGCAGUCGAUACGAGCAAACUAGAGUGUUGCAGGGGAGACUGGAAUUCCUGGUGUAGCGGUGAAAUGCGCAGAUAUUAGGAGGAACACCGGUGGCGAAGGCGCCACUCUGGGCCGAAACUGACGCUGAGGAGCGAAAGCGUGGGUAGCAAACAGG